RNAcentral lists this microRNA (22 nucleotides) under Bovine leukemia virus. RNAcentral's name for it is "BLV-miR-B2-3p". The record is from RNAcentral. Lineage: Riboviria; Pararnavirae; Artverviricota; Revtraviricetes; Ortervirales; Retroviridae.
UGCGUGUCACUCAGUCAUUUUU